AUUUGAGUAGUUUAUAAAAAAUAUAGAGUUGUGGUUUCUAAGAAAAUUAUUUUUCUCAAAUU
This 62-nucleotide transfer RNA is filed under the name Aconurella prolixa. RNAcentral describes it as "tRNA-His". The record is from RNAcentral. Lineage: Eukaryota; Metazoa; Arthropoda; Insecta; Hemiptera; Cicadellidae.